GGCCUGGUGGUGUAGUGGUUACAUGUCCUCUUUCUGUAAGAAAGGCAAUCAUCGCUCAAAGGAAGCCCCUGGUUCGAACCCAGGUCAGGCCA
Non-coding RNA from Mycena leptocephala, 92 nucleotides. The record is from the annotation of a GenBank genome assembly. Lineage: Eukaryota; Fungi; Basidiomycota; Agaricomycetes; Agaricales; Mycenaceae.